This 119-nucleotide small nuclear RNA is filed under the name Propithecus coquereli (Coquerel's sifaka). The record is from RNAcentral. Lineage: Eukaryota; Metazoa; Chordata; Mammalia; Primates; Indriidae.
GUGUUCCACUCAUGCAUCUUCAGCUCAGCACAUAUACUAAUAUUGGAACAAUACAGAGAAGAUUAGCAUGGCCCCUGUGCAAGGAUGACAUGCUUUUUUUUUAAAUAUUAAAAAAAAAA